Long non-coding RNA from Triticum aestivum (bread wheat), 3722 nucleotides. RefSeq lists it as uncharacterized. The record is from RefSeq and is a predicted model, not a curated record. The transcript is spliced from 2 exons. NCBI's taxonomy places the organism in Eukaryota, Viridiplantae, Streptophyta, Magnoliopsida, Poales, Poaceae.
AUUCCGCUGGUCGUAGGAACAGACACGACCACGGGCUCUCCUCUCUCCCUCUCCUCCGGAUCCCAGCCGCCAGGAGGCGCACGACCUGCGCGACGCUCGAUCCGGUGCCGCGCCGGCCGCCGACCGAUGGCCGACGCCGGUGAUCGGAGCACACUGCACCACCGGUCUGCCUCAGCUCCCCCCUUUCCUUUGCGCGCCCGAGCUCCUCGCUGUACGCCGCCCGGGAGGGCUCGCGCUCGCCGCUCGACCAAAGCCACCGCCGGCCGGUCCGGUGCCGCGCCGGCCGCCGGCAGAUGGCAGACGGAGGUGUUCGAAGCAUCCUGCACCACCGGUCUGCUUCAUCUCCUUCUUUCCUUCGCAUGCCCGAGCUCCUCCCUGUAAGCUGGCUGGGAGGGCUCGUGCUCGCCGCCACCGCCAGCCGGUCCUCCCUGCACUUGCCCGCGACCUCUCCGCCCCCUCUACACCGCCCUACACCUCAACUUCAGACGCACAUGUGUUUGUGGAUGUUCUCGGUUAUUUUUUGCACACAAGGUGUUUGUGUGUUUGUCUGAGCCAGUUUCAGUCACAGAUCCUUGAAGUAAACUCCCACAUACGAGAUUAGCUCUCCUUCCAUAUGAUUCAAAAAAUGGUAGGAUGGUGGGAGUUAAUUGGGAUACUAGAAUAAUGGGUUGCUAAUUAAUUUACAUCAUGUGGAGUCUCAAGACACAUGGGUACGCUGGCUCCUAUUGUUUGACAAAUUUAUAUUGAACUUUCUUUAAUCGUAUAAAGGAGUUGCAGUUAGGUGUUGCCCUUUUCUAUGCCUAGACACAGCAGCUCCAAUAACAUCUGGACGCUCAUGGUGAGAUAUAUUAAUUAUUCUUAUAAUGGUCAUCUGAAUUUGCAGAGACAAUUAGAUUUUGGAAGCAGGAAUCCUUUCCUCAUAAGAUGGAUGAGCUGUAGGAUUUGAUUCUGUUCAGCUUGAAUUAGUUUUUCAUCAUCAUGUUCUAUGUAUUAGGAAUUCAUGCCUUACAGCUCUAAUUUUUUCGCAUUGUUGGUGUAUGCUGGGAGUCACAUUGUAAUGCAUGCUAGCAAACAGUAGGAUUGAAAGUCUUACCCUGUUGGUUAUUAAUAUCUUUUCCACUAUAGUGAGGUUCAGCAAUUUAAUUCGUAUUAAGGUCACACAAACAGUUUGGUUUUCAGAUUUGUCUUGACAAACAUAUUUGGUUCAACAAUUUAAUUCGUAUUAAAGUCACACAAGCAGUUUGAUUUUUAGAUUUGUCUUGACAAACAUAUUUUUGCAGAUUAUCCUUACAUAAGCAAUUGAUUUCUGCAAGUUCCUUUCACUUCUUAUUUAUUUCUUCACUUGGUUAUGAUGUACUGCUAUUCGUUUUCAUGAUGAUUCAUGCAUUUUGUAGUUUUCACUCACAGAAUGUUCUCUCUAAACAAGAUUGGUUCCCAUUCUUACAGUGAAGUAGCUACUGAGCAGUGAGGCCAUCGAGCGACACCAGACCGCGGGACAGCGUGAGAAGAGGCAGGGGGUGUCUGGCGGGAUGGGGAAGACCACGAGGAAGUGUGGCGAUGGAGUGCAAUCCCGAAGAAGAAGAACAUUGCAAAGAAAGACCCUAGCCAAGCGCCACCCAAUUCUCUUUCAUUGACCUAUCUAAUGGCCAUCAAUUCAAUUGGUCCAAGCUGCUGCGUUUGACCUUCCCACUGACCCACUACAUCCUCGCUCAGCUGCUUCUGCUAUGUUUCUUCUCCAUGGCAUUGUCGGCUGCCAGUGUGCCUGACAUCAUGCCUAUGUGACCUCAUAUCAUGCUCCUCUACGUGUUCUUCUCACCCUGGUUCCAUGAGGAGAGAUGUUGUUCUGUGGUUCUGUAGCUCUACUCCAUAGCAAUGAUGGAGUCGCCUCCAGAUGGGAUAGCAAUUAUCUCGGGAUCAUGGUGAGGUUACUGAGUCGACCCUUCAUUUGGCUCUAUUCGUGUGGAUCUAUUCAUGUGCAUCUGUAAACUGUAUUUAGGUACAACUAUUGUUCUAGCACUUGUGUUUAUUAUUUUUGUAAAAAAAAGAUUUCUUGAUCUCAUUAAAUUGGGGUUUUAUGUUGACAUGAAAUUCUAACUGAAUUGCUAUUUAGCUGACAAUUCCAAUAAUUUUUUGUAUUGUAUUUGCAUGUACGGAGCUGCCUAAGCAACGGCCAGGGGGCAUAUGCUUCUCCUACCACUAACAUCUUCAUCCUAUUUGAGCCAGAAUAGCUUUGGUGCCCUCUCUCGCUCAUGGUGAGGCCGUGCACGCUUGCCAUGGUUGUGGCUACGAAAUCUCAGACUGAGUCGCUUCGGUCGGGCACUAUUCAGAUUAAUGUGGGAAUUUCUAGCACAUUCCUCUUUUACGGUGACGCUAGAUUCGAAUUUGAAGGCGUACUUGCCCCUGAGCUGGCGGUGCCUAAGAACAACGACGACAAAAUUCUGGCAUCGUCUCCAAGCUCUGUCGCAAGCAACACAGGAACGCCUCAGGCUCAAAGUCGGGUUGCUGUGCAGGCGAGCGGCAACAGCCACUUACGUCUCUUCCAAGAAGGGCGCCACCUUGGAGGAGCAUAACGACACCGGCUGCAGCGGCGCACGAGCCAACAAAGGGGCAGGACCAUUGGAGACGACGGACACAGAGGUGCAUGAUAGGCAUGCCGAUCAUCAGACACUAUGGAGCGAUCCCACCCGUGAUGCCGCAGUACACGCAGCCAUCGCCGCCACCGCCACAUGCCAUGAUCUACGGGUAAGUGCCUGCUCAGCAGCGUACAAGAGAAAUCACCGCGGGGCCCUACUCGCCAAGACGAUGCUUCUCUUAUCGUGCUUAUUUACUUGCCUUAUAUGUGUGACGAGAAGGAGCGGGAGAUUCAGAGGCUCAGGUUGGCAUCACUAGGUGAGUUCCCUGCUGAUUUGUCGAGCACGGGAUAUAGACUAUAGUCGGGUUCCUUCCUAACUCUGCUGGGCCUAAUGAAGAGAAAGAAUCAACUUUUGAGAUUAAUUGGCUAGAUCCAAGCAGGCAGCUGCACAACAUCGUCAAGGAGAAGAUGAUAACAAUGCGAUGUUCAAAGAAGCAGGCUCCAGUUUUGGUAAAUGAGUAGUGAUGUUGCAACCACCAAAACAAAUCUGAAAAAUAAGACAAAGACAAACAGGUUGAGAGGUUGGUUAAUGAUAUGGAAGAUCAAGUAAAAAAACGAAUUAUUGGAAGCCCCGGCAAGCAAAGUAAAGAAAACCCUACUUAACUUGAUCACAAAGGUUGGAUCGUGCAAGUACAUGUUGUAUAAGUUUACUAGGCUGGGACAGGUCGUACUGGUGGUUGCUGGCAGAAUUCUGAUGUGAUUCACAUGUUCUUCAGUUCAGAAGAUGAAACAAAAACUCUCCAAAGAGGGGAAACAAGCACAGAUAAAGCCUGAAGAGAUAUGCAAUUUGGACUUAUAGGAACUGUCACUUCAUUAUUAUAGUGGAGUUAAAGGAAAUAGGAGGCAUGAAAACAUGACGAGCGAGGAAAGAUCACUGCUAUGGAAGAAAAAAUGCAAGUCCAUGUGAUUUUGCAAUAGGAGAGGCUUAGACUUUCAGGGUUUUUACUUGAAAAAUCGCAUUUGGUACUUUUGAGUAUUUUUUAUACUGUUUUGCUCAAUCAAAAUUCACCACAUGUUUUUGUUUAUACCCGUUGCAACGCACGGGCAUUUUUACUAGUAAUAAUAAAGUAUGGAUUGACUUUGUCGGGUA